Long non-coding RNA from Etheostoma spectabile (orangethroat darter), 119 nucleotides. RefSeq lists it as uncharacterized. The transcript has 3 exons. NCBI's taxonomy places the organism in Eukaryota, Metazoa, Chordata, Actinopteri, Perciformes, Percidae. The record is from RefSeq and is a predicted model, not a curated record.
UAAGUGUGUUUUUAAUCAUAGUUUAUAGUUAUAGUUUAUUUCAUUUAUAAACCACUUUAAAAGCAAACAGGUUUGCACCAAAGUGCUUCACAAAGACAAAAACAUAUGUAAACAAGCAU